RNAcentral lists this ribosomal RNA (253 nucleotides) under uncultured bacterium. RNAcentral describes it as "partial 16S ribosomal RNA". It matches the Rfam family "Bacterial small subunit ribosomal RNA", at positions 524 to 776 of the family's 1533-position model. The record is from RNAcentral.
UACGUAGGGCGCAAGCGUUGUCCGGAAUUAUUGGGCGUAAAGAGCUCGUAGGCGGCUUGUCGCGUCGAGUGUGAAAGCCCGGGGCUUAACUCCGGGUCUGCAUUCGAUACGGGCAGGCUAGAGGCAGGUAGGGGAGAAUGGAAUUCCCGGUGUAGCGGUGAAAUGCGCAGAUAUCGGGAGGAACACCGGUGGCGAAGGCGGUUCUCUGGGCCUUACCUGACGCUGAGGAGCGAAAGCGUGGGGAGCGAACAGG